UACAGAGGUCUCAAGCGUUGUUCGGAUUCAUUGGGCGUAAAGGGUGUGUAGGUGGCGCCGUAAGUCGGGUGUGAAAUUUCGGAGCUUAACUCCGAAACUGCAUUCGAUACUGCGGUGCUUGAGGACUGGAGAGGAGACUGGAAUUCAUGGUGUAGCAGUGAAAUGCGUAGAGAUCAUGAGGAAGACCAGUGGCGAAGGCGGGUCUCUGGACAGUUCCUGACGCUGAGGCGCGAAAGCUAGGGGAGCAAACGGG
This 253-nucleotide ribosomal RNA is filed under the name uncultured bacterium. Its description in RNAcentral is "partial 16S ribosomal RNA". It matches the Rfam family "Bacterial small subunit ribosomal RNA", at positions 524 to 776 of the family's 1533-position model. The record is from RNAcentral.